RNAcentral lists this ribosomal RNA (497 nucleotides) under uncultured bacterium. RNAcentral describes it as "partial 16S ribosomal RNA". It matches the Rfam family "Bacterial small subunit ribosomal RNA", at positions 28 to 507 of the family's 1533-position model. The record is from RNAcentral.
GACGAACGCUGGCGGCGUGCCUAAUACAUGCAAGUUGAGCGCUGAAGGUUGGUACUUGUACCGACUGGAUGAGCAGCGAACGGGUGAGUAACGCGUGGGGAAUCUGCCUUUGAGCGGGGGACAACAUUUGGAAACGAAUGCUAAUACCGCAUAAAAACUUUAAACACAAGUUUUAAGUUUGAAAGAUGCAAUUGCAUCACUCAAAGAUGAUCCCGCGUUGUAUUAGCUAGUUGGUGAGGUAAAGGCUCACCAAGGCGAUGAUACAUAGCCGACCUGAGAGGGUGAUCGGCCACAUUGGGACUGAGACACGGCCCAAACUCCUACGGGAGGCAGCAGUAGGGAAUCUUCGGCAAUGGACGAAAGUCUGACCGAGAAACGCCGCGGGAGUGAAGAAGGUUGUCGGAUCGGAAAACUCUGUUGGUAGAGAAGAACGUUGGUGAGAGUGGAAAGCUCAUCAAGUGACGGUAACUACACAGAAAGGGACGGCUAACUACGUG